UACGUAGGGUGCAAGCGUUGUCCGGAAUUACUGGGCGUAAAGGGCUCGUAGGCGGCCAACUAAGUCGGAUGUGAAAUCCCCAGGCUCAACCUGGGAACUGCAUCCGAUACUGGAUGGCUUGAAUUCGGGAGAGGGAUGCAGAAUUCCAGGUGUAGCGGUGAAAUGCGUAGAUAUCAGGAGGAACACCGGUGGCGAAGGCGGGUCUCUGGGCAGUAACUGACGCUGAGGAGCGAAAGCGUGGGGAGCGAACAGG
RNAcentral lists this ribosomal RNA (253 nucleotides) under uncultured bacterium. RNAcentral describes it as "partial 16S ribosomal RNA". It matches the Rfam family "Bacterial small subunit ribosomal RNA", at positions 524 to 776 of the family's 1533-position model. The record is from RNAcentral.